CCUCUAGAAGGAAGCACUUUCU
Molecule: microRNA, 22 nt
Filed under: Macaca mulatta (Rhesus monkey)
Lineage: Eukaryota; Metazoa; Chordata; Mammalia; Primates; Cercopithecidae
Description: Mml-Mir-430-P42_5p* (star (passenger))
Source: RNAcentral